AUGCUCACUCAGCAGCACAUGUACAAUACAGAGAAGAUUAGCAUGGCCCCUGUGCAAGGAUGACACACAGAUUUGAGGAGCAUUCCAUAUUUUC
RNAcentral lists this small nuclear RNA (94 nucleotides) under Zalophus californianus (California sea lion). Lineage: Eukaryota; Metazoa; Chordata; Mammalia; Carnivora; Otariidae. The record is from RNAcentral.